GUGAGGAAUAUUGGUCAAUGGGCGAGAGCCUGAACCAGCCAAGUCGCGUGAAGGAAGAAGGAUCUAUGGUUCGUAAACUUCUUUUGCAGGGGAAUAAAGUGCGGGACGUGUCCUGUUUUGUAUGUACCCUGAGAAUAAGGAUCGGCUAACUCCGUGCCAGCAGCCGCGGUAAUACGGAGGAUCCGAGCGUUAUCCGGAUUUAUUGGGUUUAAAGGGUGCGUAGGUGGUUUGAUAAGUCAGCGGUGAAAGUUUGCAGCUUAACUGUAAAAAUGCCGUUGAAGCUGUCGGACUUGAGUGUAAAUGAGGUAGGCGGAAUGCGUGGUGUAGCGGUGAAAUGCAUAGAUAUCACGCAGAACUCCGAUUGCGAAGGCAGCUUACUAAGCUACAACUGACACUGAAGCACGAAAGCGUGGGGAUCAAACAGGAUUAGAUACCCGUGUAGUCC
Molecule: ribosomal RNA, 445 nt
Filed under: uncultured bacterium
Lineage: Bacteria
Description: partial 16S ribosomal RNA
Rfam family: Bacterial small subunit ribosomal RNA
Source: RNAcentral